UACAGAGGUCCCAAGCGUUGUUCGGAUUUAUUGGGCGUAAAGGGUGCGUAGGCGGUCGCCUAAGUCAGAUGUGAAAUCCCGGGGCUCAACCUCGGAACUGCAUUUGAUACUGGGUGACUCGAGUACUGGAGAGGAGACUGGAAUUUACGGUGUAGCAGUGAAAUGCGUAGAUAUCGUAAGGAAGACCAGUGGCGAAGGCGAGUCUCUGGACAGUUACUGACGCUGAGGCACGAAGGCUAGGGGAGCAAACGGG
RNAcentral lists this ribosomal RNA (253 nucleotides) under uncultured bacterium. RNAcentral's name for it is "partial 16S ribosomal RNA". It matches the Rfam family "Bacterial small subunit ribosomal RNA", at positions 524 to 776 of the family's 1533-position model. The record is from RNAcentral.